RNAcentral lists this ribosomal RNA (497 nucleotides) under uncultured bacterium. Its description in RNAcentral is "partial 16S ribosomal RNA". It matches the Rfam family "Bacterial small subunit ribosomal RNA", at positions 28 to 507 of the family's 1533-position model. The record is from RNAcentral.
GAUGAACGCUGGCGGCGUGCCUAAUACAUGCAAGUCGAGCGAACAGACGAGGAGCUUGCUCCUUUGACGUUAGCGGCGGAAGGGUGAGUAACACGUGGGUAACCUACCUAUAAGACUGGGAUAACUUCGGGAAACCGGAGCUAAUACCGGAUAAUAUUUCGAACCGCAUGGUUCGAUAGUGAAAGAUGGCUUUGCUAUCACUUAUAGAUGGACCUGCGCCGUAUUAGCUAGUUGGUAAGGUAACGGCUUACCAAGGCAACGAUACGUAGACGACCUGAGAGGGUGAUCGGCCACACUGGAACUGAGACACGGUCCAGACUCCUACGGGAGGCAGCAGUAGGGAAUCUUCCGCAAUGGGCGAAAGCCUGACGGAGCAACGCCGCGUGAGUGAUGAAGGUCUUCGGAUCGUAAAACUCUGUUAUUAGGGAAGAACAAACGUGUAAGUAACUGUGCACGUCUUGACGGUACCUAAUCAGAAAGCCACGGCUAACUACGUG